ACGAACGCUGGCGGCGUGCUUAACACAUGCAAGUCGAGCGGUAAGGCCUCUUCGGGGGUACACGAGCGGCGAACGGGUGAGUAACACGUGGGUGACCUGCCCUCAGCUCUGGGAUAAGCCUGGGAAACUGGGUCUAAUACCGGAUAUGACCUUUCCUCGCAUGGGGUUUGGUGGAAAGUUUUUUCGGCUGGGGAUGGGCCCGCGGCCUAUCAGCUUGUUGGUGGGGUGAUGGCCUACCAAGGCGACGACGGGUAGCCGGCCUGAGAGGGCGACCGGCCACACUGGGACUGAGACACGGCCCAGACUCCUACGGGAGGCAGCAGUGGGGAAUAUUGCGCAAUGGGCGGAAGCCUGACGCAGCGACGCCGCGUGGGGGAUGACGGCCUUCGGGUUGUAAACCUCUUUCGACCCCGACGAAUUUGGACGGUAGGGGUAGAAGAAGCACCGGCAACUACGUG
Molecule: ribosomal RNA, 458 nt
Filed under: uncultured bacterium
Lineage: Bacteria
Description: partial 16S ribosomal RNA
Rfam family: Bacterial small subunit ribosomal RNA
Source: RNAcentral